This 643-nucleotide ribosomal RNA is filed under the name uncultured bacterium. RNAcentral's name for it is "bacterial SSU rRNA". It matches the Rfam family "Bacterial small subunit ribosomal RNA", at positions 232 to 885 of the family's 1533-position model. The record is from RNAcentral.
CGCGGCCUAUCAGCUUGUUGGUGGGGUAGUGGCUUACCAAGGCUUUGACGGGUAGCCGGCCUGAGAGGGUGACCGGCCACAUUGGGACUGAGAUACGGCCCAGACUCCUACGGGAGGCAGCAGUGGGGAAUAUUGCACAAUGGGCGGAAGCCUGAUGCAGCAACGCCGCGUGCGGGAUGACGGCCUUCGGGUUGUAAACCGCUUUCGCCUGUGACGAAGCGUGUGUGACGGUAAUGGGUAAAGAAGCACCGGCUAACUACGUGCCAGCAGCCGCGGUGAUACGUAGGGUGCGAGCGUUGUCCGGAUUUAUUGGGCGUAAAGGGCUCGUAGGUGGUUGAUCGCGUCGGAAGUGUAAUCUUGGGGCUUAACCCUGAGCGUGCUUUCGAUACGGGUUGACUUGAGGAAGGUAGGGGAGAAUGGAAUCCCUGGUGGAGCGGUGGAAUGCGCAGAUAUCAGGAGGAACACCAGUGGCGAAGGCGGUUCUCUGGGCCUUUCCUGACGCUGAGGAGCGAAAGCGUGGGGAGCGAACAGGCUUAGAUACCCUGGUAGUCCACGCUGUAAACGGUGGGUACUAGGUGUGGGGUCCAUUCCACGGGUUCCGUGCCGUAGCUAACGCUUUAAGUACCCCGCCUGGGGAGUACGG